This 705-nucleotide ribosomal RNA is filed under the name Cronobacter sakazakii. RNAcentral's name for it is "partial 23S ribosomal RNA". It matches the Rfam family "Bacterial large subunit ribosomal RNA", at positions 2242 to 2925 of the family's 2925-position model. The record is from RNAcentral. Lineage: Bacteria; Pseudomonadati; Pseudomonadota; Gammaproteobacteria; Enterobacterales; Enterobacteriaceae. RNAcentral also lists the same sequence under 1 other name.
GGCGUGGGGACAGUGUCUGGUGGGUAGUUUGACUGGGGCGGUCUCCUCCCAAAGUGUAACGGAGGAGCACGAAGGUCAGCUAAUCCUGGUCGGACAUCAGGAGGUUAGUGCAAUGGCAUAAGCUGGCUUGACUGCGAGAGUGACGGCUCGAGCAGGUGCGAAAGCAGGUCAUAGUGAUCCGGUGGUUCUGUAUGGAAGGGCCAUCGCUCAACGGAUAAAAGGUACUCCGGGGAUAACAGGCUGAUACCGCCCAAGAGUUCAUAUCGACGGCGGUGUUUGGCACCUCGAUGUCGGCUCAUCACAUCCUGGGGCUGAAGUAGGUCCCAAGGGUAUGGCUGUUCGCCAUUUAAAGUGGUACGCGAGCUGGGUUUAGAACGUCGUGAGACAGUUCGGUCCCUAUCUGCCGUGGGCGCUGGAGAAUUGAGGGGGGCUGCUCCCAGUACGAGAGGACCGGAGUGGACGCAUCACUGGUGUUCGGGUUGUCAUGCCAAUGGCACUGCCCGGUAGCUAAAUGCGGAAGAGAUAAGUGCUGAAAGCAUCUAAGCACGAAACUUGCCCCGAGAUGAGUUCUCCCUGAGACUGUAAGUCUCCUGAAGGAACGUUGAAGACGACGACGUUGAUAGGCCGGGUGUGUAAGCGCAGCGAUGCGUUGAGCUAACCGGUACUAAUGAACCGUGAGGCUUAACCUUACAACGCCAAAGAAGU